Molecule: ribosomal RNA, 669 nt
Filed under: uncultured prokaryote
Description: bacterial SSU rRNA
Rfam family: Bacterial small subunit ribosomal RNA
Source: RNAcentral
UGAGUUUGAUCCUGGCUCAGGAUGAACGCUGACAGAAUGCUUAACACAUGCAAGUCGAUUCGAUUUACCUUCGGGUAUUGAGGAUGGCGGACGGGUGAGUAACGCGUAAGGAACUUGCCUCUUGGUCUGGGACAACUGUUGGAAGCGACAGCUAAUACCGGAUAUUAUGAGAUUCUCGCAUGGGAAACUUAUGAAAGCUAUAUGCGCCAAGAGAGAGCCUUGCGUUCCAUUAGCUAGUUGGUGGGGUAACGGCCCACCAAGGCGACGAUGGAUAGCCGGCCUGAGAGGGUGAACGGCCACAAGGGGACUGAGACACGGCCCUUACUCCUACGGGAGGCAGCAGUGGGGAAUAUUGGACAAUGGGCCACAAGCCUGAUCCAGCAAUUCUGUGUGCACGAUGAAGGUCUUCGGAUUGUAAAGUGCUUUCAGUUGGGAAGAAGAAAGUGACGGUACCAACAGAAGAAGCGACGGCUAAAUACGUGCCAGCAGCCGCGGUAAUACGUAUGUCGCAAGCGUUAUCCGGAUUUAUUGNGCGUAAAGCGCGUCUAGGCGGAAAAAUAAGUCUGAUGUUAAAAUGCGGGGCUCAACUCCGUAUUGCGUUGGAAACUGUUUUUCUAGAGUACUGGAGAGGUGGGCGGAACUACAAGUGUAGAGGUGAAAUUCGUANAU